RNAcentral lists this ribosomal RNA (445 nucleotides) under uncultured bacterium. RNAcentral's name for it is "partial 16S ribosomal RNA". It matches the Rfam family "Bacterial small subunit ribosomal RNA", at positions 354 to 796 of the family's 1533-position model. The record is from RNAcentral.
GUGAGGAAUAUUGCGCAAUGGAGGCAACUCUGACGCAGCCAUGCCGCGUGCAGGAAGAAGGCGCUACGCGUUGUAAACUGCUUUUAACCGGGAAGAAACCCCAGGACGUGUCCUGGGUUGACGGUACCGGAGGAAUAAGCACCGGCUAACUUCGUGCCAGCAGCCGCGGUAAUACGAAGGGUGCAAGCGUUAUCCGGAUUCAUAGGGUUUAAAGGGUGCGUAGGCGGAGCGUUAAGUCAGUGGUGAAAUCCUGCAGCUUAACUGUAGACUUGCCAUUGAUACUGGCGCUCUUGAGUGCGCUAGAAGGGGGCGGAAUGUGCCGUGUAGCGGUGAAAUGCUUAGAUAUGGCACAGAACACCAAUUGCGAAGGCAGCUCACUAAGGCGAUACUGACGCUGAGGCACGAAAGCGUGGGGAUCGAACAGGAUUAGAUACCCGAGUAGUCC